Molecule: ribosomal RNA, 494 nt
Filed under: uncultured bacterium
Lineage: Bacteria
Description: partial 16S ribosomal RNA
Rfam family: Bacterial small subunit ribosomal RNA
Source: RNAcentral
GACGAACGCUGGCGGCGUGCCUAAUACAUGCAAGUAGAACGCUGAAGGAGGAGCUUGCUCUUCUGGAUGAGUUGCGAACGGGUGAGUAACGCGUAGGUAACCUGCCUGGUAGCGGGGGAUAACUAUUGGAAACGAUAGCUAAUACCGCAUAAGAGUAGAUGUUGCAUGACAUUUACUUAAAAGGUGCAAUUGCAUCACUACCAGAUGGACCUGCGUUGUAUUAGCUAGUUGGUGGGGUAACGGCUUACCAAGGCGACGAUACAUAGCCGACCUGAGAGGGGGGUCGGCCAAAACGGGACUGAGACACGGGCCAGACCCCUACGGGAGGCAGCAGUGGGGAAUUUUGGGGAAAGGGAGGAAGGCUGAACCAGCCAACGCGGGGGGGUGAAAGAGGGUUUUGGGUUGGAAAACCUUUUUUGUAGGAAAAAAACGAGUGUGAGGGAGAAAAGUUCGCACUGACGCGAUAUCAUACAAAAACGGGAGGUAAAACUACG